CGGGGGGAUAAAACAUGUUAUUGAUAUACAUUAACACAUUGUAAAACAUGUUAUUGAUAUACAUUAACACAUUGUAAAACAUGUUAUUGAUAUACAUUAACACAGUGUAAAACAUGUUAUUGAUAUACAUUAACACAGUGUAAAACAUGUUAUUGAUAUACAUUAACACAGUGUAAAACAUGUUAUUGAUAUACAUUAACACAGUGUAUGACGUUAUCUAUAUACAUUAACACAGUGUAUGACGUUAUCUAUAUACAUUAACAUCCCUGUUUCUGAGGCAGAAAGAGAGAGAGAGUGGCUGAAUCCCAAAUCACCCCCUUUCCCCUUGCCCCUCGCCCCUCGGCGUUCACGCUCGCCUCCGACACAUGCACAAGUGUCCCAAAGCUGAGGGAGUGAAAGUGAUCGAGGGUGUAGGGGCUAAUUAGACCCUCAGAUCGCCACUUCGACCGAGCCAGCAAGGCUUCAGAGCAAAGUGAUAUUCCAACACGCACUGCAAUGUGUUUGUGCAAUUUCAUUAAAAAAUAAUGUUUAUGUCUGAUUUCAUGACUUGACACAUGUAACAGAUGAAAUACCUUCCAAAUUAAAUGUUUAAUUUACUGAGGUUUAAAUCUUGUGAAACGACAGGUGGGAUUUGUUAAUUUGAGUUUCAUGCUUGUUUUAUUAUUUAAAAGUGGAACAUUAAAUUGCAUCAUUCAAGUCAGGAGUGUGUCUUGAAGUUGAAGGUAUAUUGAUCACCUCGCCACUCUCUGGAAGUCACCCUCUGAGUUUCGUCAGCAACACGUGACAGCAGAGGGCCCUCCGAGUGAGUUGGUCGUGGCAAGGGGGUGGUUUGGGAUUCACCGAGAAUGAUUUCUGAGGGGUACUAACUCAAUCCAGUCAUACUGUGAAAGAUGGAUGCCAAAUGGAGCCCUAUUCUCGAUAUAGUGUCAAGGCUCUGUACAAAAGUAGUGCACUAUAUAGUGAAUAGUGUGCCAUUUUGGACGGUCUCACCUAAUGUACACACUUAUCUGAUGGGUUCAACUGUCAUUUUUUCAAACAUAAUAAACAACUUUACCUGAAAGGUG
Molecule: long non-coding RNA, 1064 nt
Organism: Coregonus clupeaformis (lake whitefish)
Lineage: Eukaryota; Metazoa; Chordata; Actinopteri; Salmoniformes; Salmonidae
Exons: 2
Source: RefSeq, a predicted model, not a curated record